Haliotis rubra (blacklip abalone) is the source of this 1156-nucleotide long non-coding RNA. RefSeq lists it as uncharacterized. Lineage: Eukaryota; Metazoa; Mollusca; Gastropoda; Lepetellida; Haliotidae. The record is from RefSeq and is a predicted model, not a curated record. The transcript is spliced from 2 exons.
ACGCAAAAAAAAUUUCUUCAAUGUGAUCUUAAGUCAUUUUCAGGGUGUGGGUGUGUGUGUUCGAACCCCCUGAACCCCCCAUCUGGAUCCGCCACUGCUAGCUCAUGGACAGAUCCGCCCUUGAUCGCGUUGCCAUUUUGCCGACCAGUCAAACGUCGAGAUUAGGAGAAGGGGCAAGGGCGGUAACUCGUAUGGCCUUGAAACCUAAAUAAACCUAAGCCACUUCUAAUGGACUUUCCCUUACAAAAUUUUUAGGACUUUCUUUUUGCCUAUGCGUCAGGCACAUCAUGGGCAGUUAAUUUGAGAUCGCGAGAACCUCAUGGGUUAGUGUAGGUUUAUAGAAAUACCAGCCCGGUAGAUAUGGCAACCGCUUACAUGUAUGGCGGUUGUUAGAUGCGACCAAACAAGUGGCCAUCAUCAGUGACGUGAUUGAUAGCGUGAACGUUGCCCUUUAUAUAAAUCACCAGAUCGUCUGGUCUGAAUAUUUAAAGCGUCCUCUCGUCACGCCGAAGACCCGGUUCGAUUCCCCUCAUGAGUGUAGAGUGUGAAGCCCAUUUUUGGUGUCCUCUGUCGUGACUUUGCCGGAAUAUUGCUAAAACCAUACACACUCACUUACUUACUCUAAUUUCAGGCCACUCUGUGGCGUACUUGAAAUGCUGUAUAGAGAUAAUGCUAAUUCACUCACUCACUCUAGUCUGCAUGGAAACCAUGCUUUAAGGCAUUACACAAUUUCGUAUUGUGUUUGUAUUGUGAUUACAGUCAGGGGCACGGGUGGCCCAGUCGUCUCAGGUUCCACAAUUCGAGUUGCCUCACUGAGAUUAUGGAUUCAAAUCCUCCAAGUUGAAGUCUAUUAAUUUAUAGCUUUUCAAAUAGCAAAUAUGUGUGGAAAUAUAUGGUAGAGAAAUUGAUUUUCAACAUUCCACAUGUUGGUACAAGUGUGUAUGGUACUUGUGAAGCAAUAUGAACUGUUUUAUGCUUAAAGUUUGCAUGUCUAUGGUCUGUUUGCAACUUAUUUUGCCUGGAAGAGCCGGGCGUUGCUGGGAGCAAGAUGUUCUGUUGGAAGCAUGUCCAGAUGACUGGAAUAUCAAUAUUUUCACUUUGUCAGUGAACUUGACUGGUGUAACUAUACAUGUAUAUUAAACUGUUUUCUUUUCUU